CAGUCGCCGCGGUAAUACGAAGGGGGCUAGCGUUGUUCGGAAUUACUGGGCGUAAAGCGCACGUAGGCGGAUAUUUAAGUCAGGGGUGAAAUCCCGCAGCUCAACUGCGGAACUGCCUUUGAUACUGGGUAUCUUGAGUAUGGAAGAGGUUAGUGGAAUUGCGAGUGUAGAGGUGAAAUUCGUAGAUAUUCGCAGGAACACCAGUGGCGAAGGCGGCUAACUGGUCCAUAACUGACGCUGAGGUGCGAAAGCGUGGGGAGCAAACAGGAUUAGAUACCCGAGUAGUCCCUGUCUCUUAUAC
Molecule: ribosomal RNA, 301 nt
Filed under: uncultured bacterium
Lineage: Bacteria
Description: partial 16S ribosomal RNA
Rfam family: Bacterial small subunit ribosomal RNA
Source: RNAcentral